AGCGACGCCACUCGAGUGAAGCGCUACUCAGCAGUCGAAAGUCCGCUGCUCUCUACUGUGCGUGCAUCAGUGCGGACGUGUACGCAAGCACGUCUUUUGGCUUCAACCAAUCAGUGCUGACGCACCGGACGUUACACAUCAAAAAGCUUUGAUCUACGACAACAGCUAAGCUAGCCUAGCCAAGACAACAGCUAAAUUAGUUGGGACGACACGACGCUCGAGGUCGGACGGACACGCUCUUUCGUAAUCUGGUUUCAGGUGACCUGGAACCUAUCCCUGCUGACUUUGGGAAGCGGGGUCCAUAAACUUGGAAGAAGUCAGAGUACCCGAAGAAAACCCAUGGGGAGCACAUGGAAACCCCCACAAAGGACUGAGGCAGCAGCUCAAUACGAUGGUGGCAGUGAAGUCAAUUCUACUCACUUCACAAGAAGCAGCUGUUUGGCAGAGAGGAAAGAGUUCUUUCAAAAGAGGCUUCAAGCUGUUUAUUGUCACUCCCAGUUGAAGUUU
Molecule: long non-coding RNA, 507 nt
Organism: Hippocampus comes (tiger tail seahorse)
Lineage: Eukaryota; Metazoa; Chordata; Actinopteri; Syngnathiformes; Syngnathidae
Exons: 3
Source: RefSeq, a predicted model, not a curated record